This 253-nucleotide ribosomal RNA is filed under the name uncultured bacterium. RNAcentral's name for it is "partial 16S ribosomal RNA". It matches the Rfam family "Bacterial small subunit ribosomal RNA", at positions 524 to 776 of the family's 1533-position model. The record is from RNAcentral.
UACAGAGGGUGCGAGCGUUGUUCGGAAUUACUGGGCGUAGAGGGCGCGUAGGCGGACAGUUUAGUCAGAGGUGAAAGCCCAGGGCUCAACCUUGGAAUAGCCUUUGAUACUGGCUGUCUUGAGUUCGGGAGAGGUGAGUGGAAUGCCGAGUGUAGAGGUGAAAUUCGUAGAUAUUCGGCGGAACACCAGUGGCGAAGGCGACUCACUGGCCCGAUACUGACGCUGAGGCGCGAAAGCGUGGGGAGCAAACAGG